UUUCUUUUUUUCUUUUUCUAAUGUUGGUCUUGCUUAAUGUUCCCAUUUGAAAAGUGUAUCUAUGGAAAUGGAUAGAUGUUUUAAGAUCAUUGUAGUGCUUUGUGCUUAAAUAGACUAGCACAUGUAGACCUAGGAAGAUAACAAACUAUGUUCUUUUUCUUCCCCUUUUUUUUCUCUCUCUCUCAUUUGGUUUGUUUUUAAUUCACUUG
Molecule: unclassified non-coding RNA, 209 nt
Filed under: Hevea brasiliensis (rubber tree)
Lineage: Eukaryota; Viridiplantae; Streptophyta; Magnoliopsida; Malpighiales; Euphorbiaceae
Source: RNAcentral